GAUGAACGCUGGCGGCGUGCCUAAUACAUGCAAGUCGAGCGAACGGACGAGAAGCUUGCUUCUCUGAUGUUAGCGGCGGACGGGUGAGUAACACGUGGAUAACCUACCUAUAAGACUGGGAUAACUUCGGGAAACCGUAGCUAAUACCGGAUAAUAUUUUGAACCGCAUGGUUCAAAAGUGAAAGACGGUCUUGCUGUCACUUAUAGAUGGAUCCGCGCUGCAUUAGCUAGUUGGUAAGGUAACGGCUUACCAAGGCAACGAUGCAUAGCCGACCUGAGAGGGUGAUCGGCCACACUGGAACUGAGACACGGUCCAGACUCCUACGGGAGGCAGCAGUAGGGAAUCUUCCGCAAUGGGCGAAAGCCUGACGGAGCAACGCCGCGUGAGUGAUGAAGGUCUUCGGAUCGNUAAACUCUGUUAUUAGGGAAGAACAUAUGUGUAAGUAACUGUGCACAUCUUGACGGUACCUAAUCAGAAAGCCACGGCUAACUACGUGCCAGCAGCCGCGGUAAUACGUAGGUGGCAAGCGUUAUCCGGAAUUAUUGGGCGUAAAGCGCGCGUAGCGGUUUUUUAGCCUGAUGUGAAAGCCCACGGCUCAACCGUGGAGGGUCAUUGGAAACUGGAAAACUUGAGUGCAGAAGAGGAAAGUGGAAUUCCAUGUGUAGCGGUGAAAUGCGCAGAGAUAUGGAGGAACACCAGUGGCGAAGGCGACUUUCUGGUCUGUAACUGACGCUGAUGUGCGAAAGCGUGGGGAUCAAACAGGAUUAGAUACCCUGGUAGUCCACGCCGUAAACGAUGAGUGCUAAGUGUUAGGGGGUUUCCGCCCCUUAGUGCUGCAGCUAACGCAUUAAGCACUCCGCCUGGGGAGUACGACCGCAAGGUUGAAACUCAAAGGAAUUGACGGGGACCCGCACAAGCGGUGGAGCAUGUGGUUUAAUUCGAAGCAACGCGAAGAACCUUACCAAAUCUUGACAUCCUUUGACAACUCUAGAGAUAGAGCCUUCCCCUUCGGGGGACAAAGUGACAGGUGGUGCAUGGUUGUCGUCAGCUCGUGUCGUGAGAUGUUGGGUUAAGUCCCGCAACGAGCGCAACCCUUAAGCUUAGUUGCCAUCAUUAAGUUGGGCACUCUAAGUUGACUGCCGGUGACAAACCGGAGGAAGGUGGGGAUGACGUCAAAUCAUCAUGCCCCUUAUGAUUUGGGCUACACACGUGCUACAAUGGACAAUACAAAGGGCAGCGAAACCGCGAGGUCAAGCAAAUCCCAUAAAGUUGUUCUCAGUUCGGAUUGUAGUCUGCAACUCGACUACAUGAAGCUGGAAUCGCUAGUAAUCGUAGAUCAGCAUGCUACGGUGAAUACGUUCCCGGGUCU
This 1370-nucleotide ribosomal RNA is filed under the name uncultured bacterium. RNAcentral's name for it is "bacterial SSU rRNA". It matches the Rfam family "Bacterial small subunit ribosomal RNA", at positions 28 to 1381 of the family's 1533-position model. The record is from RNAcentral.